GCAACAGGAGCCAGGGGUGGCAUCAGCCUUGUAAGUUGAGGGGAGAGGACACCAACCUCUCUGUUGCU
RNAcentral lists this transfer RNA (68 nucleotides) under Patelloida saccharinoides. RNAcentral describes it as "tRNA-Thr". The record is from RNAcentral. Lineage: Eukaryota; Metazoa; Mollusca; Gastropoda; Lottiidae.